This is a non-coding RNA of Acanthosepion pharaonis, 100 nucleotides long. The record is from the annotation of a GenBank genome assembly. Lineage: Eukaryota; Metazoa; Mollusca; Cephalopoda; Sepiida; Sepiidae.
CGUUGAAACACAGGUUCUCAUCCGAUCACCGAAGUUAAACAACGUCGAACCUGGUCAGUUACUUGAUGGGUGACCACUUGGAAAUAACAGAUAUUGUAAG